AGGCUUCCAUGAUGGGAUUCAUCCGAUUGGUCAACAACGUGAAGGCGUCCAUCUGAUUGGUCAAAGGCAGAAAGGGAUUUAUUUGAUUCAUAAAAUACGUCAAGCUGCCAAAAGAGCACAUUUAAGGCCUACUCUUGUGGCAUUUUUCUGGCAGGACGGGCCGUAAGCUCCCCGCUCUGAGCUCUGCAAUAGGGAGUAGGGGCGGGGUUUAACCAUACAUCAAAAGAGGAUGGGAUUGACCUGCUGUCGGUAUGUAGUCGCUCCCGACCCGUCAGGUUUGCUCAGAAACCCAGCAGCCAGAAGCGGAUGGUUCAAAACCUGCAGAAGCCCAGCAGUGAGAGGAUGUGAGGCUGGUUUCGUCCGGCGCCUGUGACUCACGCUUUUGUUGGUAAAAGAGGAGCUGUCGGAGGGUUGGAGCCAACUGCUGACCGAGGAUUUACUCGACAAAUUAGUGCAGAACACCGCAGGACUGUGAUACGCUUCCUCCUGGAGUUUUGCUAGUCGGCUGGUUUCAAGGCCGUAACCGCAUGAAGACUCUUUCAGAGUGCUGAGUCCACUUUCACCCACACAGACUGAACGGAUGCCGUUCUCCUGGACCUGAAGGGCGUGUGGGUCAGAACGCCUGUUUUCCAAAGCUUUCCGGGGUCAGGCUGACCCGUCUUCUCUGCCGUUUGUC
Non-coding RNA from Oryzias latipes (Japanese medaka), 676 nucleotides. The record is from RefSeq and is a predicted model, not a curated record. Lineage: Eukaryota; Metazoa; Chordata; Actinopteri; Beloniformes; Adrianichthyidae.